Molecule: ribosomal RNA, 301 nt
Filed under: uncultured bacterium
Lineage: Bacteria
Description: partial 16S ribosomal RNA
Rfam family: Bacterial small subunit ribosomal RNA
Source: RNAcentral
CAGUAGCCUCGGUAAUACGAAGGGGGCUAGCGUUGCUCGGAAUGACUGGGCGUAAAGGGCGCGUAGGCGGCGAUCGAAGUCAGGCGUGAAAUUCCUGGGCUCAACCUGGGGGCUGCGUUUGAUACUUGAUUGCUAGAGUGGGGAAGAGGGUCGUGGAAUUCCCAGUGUAGAGGUGAAAUUCGUAGAUAUUGGGAAGAACACCGGUGGCGAAGGCGGCGACCUGGUCCUUGACUGACGCUGAGGCGCGAAAGCGUGGGGAGCAAACAGGAUUAGAUACCCCUGUAGUCCCUGUCUCUUAUAC